AAGGGCACCACAAGAACGCGUGGAGCAUGUGGCUUAAUUUGACUCAACCCGGGAAAUCUUACCAGGUCCAGACAUAUUGAGGAUUGACAGGCGAUAGUAUAUAAAAUAUAUUUUUAUAUGCAUAAAAAUGAUAGUCCUUUCAUGAUUAUAUGAUAGGUGGUGCAUGGCCGUUCUUAGUUCGUGGAGUGAUUUGUCUGCUUAAUUGCGUUUCAGUAAAUAAAAUAUAUAAUAUAUUAUAAUAUUUAGUUCUGCCAUUUAUUUAUGGAUUUAAAGUGAACAUAUUAUAUAUAUUAUUAUAUAAUAAAUGAAUGCAACGAACGUGACCGUAACCUUUUAUUGCUAUUGAAAAUUAUAAUUAUAGCAUAAAAUUAAAGGAACCGCUGUCAUUACUAAAUAUGUGUUAAAAUAGAGUAAGAUUAUGGCAAUAACAGGUCUGUGAUGCCCUCAGAUGUUCUGGGCUGCACACGUGCUACAAUAAUUACAUUAAUAAGUAUAUAUACUUUAUAAUAUAUAAUAUUAUAUUACAACCUAUUUCGAAAGUAAAUCGGUAAUCAUUUAAAAAUCGUGAUUAAUUAAUAUAAAUAUAAUUAAUUUAAGGUGGGGAUAGUGUAUUGUUAAUUAUUACACUUGGCCUUAACUAGGAAUGCCUUGUACUCUUCUUUGGUUUAACAUACCAAGAGGAAUACGUCCCUGCCCUUUGUACACACCGGCCGUCGCUCUUACCGAUGAAUUAUAUUAUAAAUCUAAGGGAUUUAUUAUAAUUAAAAUAUAAAAAACUUAUAUACAUAAUGUGAUUUAAAGGAAAGAGAAGUCGUAACAAGGCAUCAGUAGGUGAACCU
RNAcentral lists this ribosomal RNA (839 nucleotides) under Sorites sp. RNAcentral's name for it is "SSU rRNA". It matches the Rfam family "Eukaryotic small subunit ribosomal RNA", at positions 1160 to 1816 of the family's 1831-position model. Lineage: Eukaryota; Foraminifera; Miliolida; Soritidae. The record is from RNAcentral.